RNAcentral lists this long non-coding RNA (317 nucleotides) under Heterocephalus glaber (naked mole-rat). RNAcentral's name for it is "lncRNA (ENSHGLG00000032212.1)". Lineage: Eukaryota; Metazoa; Chordata; Mammalia; Rodentia; Bathyergidae. The record is from RNAcentral.
AGAAACUCUGCCAAGGACAAUUCCCUGAAGGAGCAGUUCUCUUACACCUGGGCAGGUCCAUUUGUGCUUUGUAGUUUUUCUUCAGAGGAUUGAGAUUGUGAAUAGCAUCUCAGAGCAAGCUGCACAUUGAUGUUGGCAUCCUACAGCUAAGGAAGCAGAUCUGUGUGAGCACAUGGGGAGAAGGUGCUGCCAUGAACAUAGAAGCUUGGUUCUGAAGAUCAACUUGGGUUGGUGUCUGAAGUCUCUGCUUUGCUCAGCUACACACAGAGUCUUCAUUGGUGGAAAUCAUUGGUCCUGUUUGCUUUUCUUUUUCUUUC